AUACCCGGUGAAGCCACAGAAACCGUCCCUGCUACAGAGCAGGAGUUGCCACAGCCUCAGGCUGAGACAGGAUUGGGAACAGAGUCUGACAGUGAUGAGUCAGUGCCAGAGCUCAAGGAACAAGACUCCACACAGACGGCCACGCAGCAAGCCCAGCUGGCAGCCGCAGCUGAGAUCGAUGAAGAACCUGUUAGUAAAGCCACGCAGAGUCGGAGUGAGAAGAAGGCAAGGAAGGCUAUGUCCAAACUGGGUCUUCGACAGGUUACAGGGGUUACAAGAGUCUCACUAUCCGAAAAUCUAAAAGUAUCCUCUUUGUCAUCACAAAACCAGAUGUCUACAAGAGCCCAGCUUCAGACACCUACAUAGUGUUUGGGGAAGCCAAGAUUGAAGAUUUGUCUCAGCAAGCACAGUUAGCAGCUGCUGAAAAAUUCAAAGUUCAAGGUGACGCUGUUUCAAACAUUCAGGAAAACACUCAGACUCCAACCGUCCAAGAGGAGAGUGAAGAAGAGGAGGUUGAUGAAACGGGUGUGGAAGUUAAGGACAUAGAAUUGGUCAUGUCACAAGCAAACAUAUCAAGAGCAAAACAACAGUAACGAUAUUGUAAAUGCUACUAUGGAAUUAACAAUGUAA
Molecule: long non-coding RNA, 630 nt
Filed under: Mus musculus (house mouse)
Lineage: Eukaryota; Metazoa; Chordata; Mammalia; Rodentia; Muridae
Description: long non-coding RNA chr4:52821487-52822117
Source: RNAcentral